CCUACGGGAGGCAGCAGUGGGGAAUAUUGCACAAUGGGGGAAACCCUGAUGCAGCGACGCCGCGUGAGUGAAGAAGUAUUUCGGUAUGUAAAGCUCUAUCAGCAGGGGAGAAAAUGACGGUACCUGACUAAGAAGCCCCGGCUAACUACGUGCCAGCAGCCGCGGUAAUACGUAGGGGGCCAGCGUUAUCCGGAUUGACUGGGUGUAAAGGGAGCGUAGACGGUGAUGCAAGUCAGAAGUGAAAGCCCGGGGCUCAACUCCGGGACUGCUUUUGAAACUGUGUGACUGGAGUGCAGGAGAGGUAAGCGGAAUUCCUGGUGUAGCGGUGAAAUGCGUAGAUAUUAGGAAGAACACCAGUGGCGAAGGCGGAUUACUGGACGAUAACUGACGGUGAGGCGCGAAAGCGUGGGGAGCAAACAGGAUUAGAUACCCCAGUAGUC
RNAcentral lists this ribosomal RNA (440 nucleotides) under uncultured bacterium. RNAcentral describes it as "partial 16S ribosomal RNA". It matches the Rfam family "Bacterial small subunit ribosomal RNA", at positions 338 to 795 of the family's 1533-position model. The record is from RNAcentral.